Molecule: long non-coding RNA, 237 nt
Filed under: Panax ginseng (ginseng)
Lineage: Eukaryota; Viridiplantae; Streptophyta; Magnoliopsida; Apiales; Araliaceae
Description: long non-coding RNA (PGIN_LNC014251)
Source: RNAcentral
GAAGCUGAAGCCGAAGAAGAGGCAAUGAGAAAGGAGAAUGCCAUCUUGAAGUCUGCUUUGGCUCGGGAGAGAACUCAACGUAAAAGUGUUCUCCACACAAAAGAAGGUCUUCGAAAGGAGUUGGCCCAGACCAAAGAAGAUGUAAAAUCGUCCAAUGAAGAGCUGAAGUUAACCAAGGCCCAAUACCAAGAGAUCGUCAAGAUGAACGUUGAUUUGGUUCAGAGGAAUGAGAUAAGG